RNAcentral lists this ribosomal RNA (792 nucleotides) under uncultured bacterium. RNAcentral describes it as "bacterial SSU rRNA". It matches the Rfam family "Bacterial small subunit ribosomal RNA", at positions 56 to 849 of the family's 1533-position model. The record is from RNAcentral.
UGCAGUCGGACGGGAUUGAGGAGCUUGCUUCUCAUGAGAGUGGCGCACGGGUGCGUAACACGUAUGUAACCUACCUUGUUCAGGGGGAUAGCCUCUCGAAAGAGAGAUUAACACCGCAUAAAAUCAAUUUAUGGCAUCAUAGAAUGAUCAAAUAUUUAUAGGAACAAGAUGGGCAUGCGGAACAUUAGCUAGUUGGUAAGGUAACGGCUUACCAAGGCUACGAUGUUUAGGGGAUCUGAGAGGAUGACCCCCCACACUGGUACUGAGACACGGACCAGACUCCUACGGGAGGCAGCAGUAAGGAAUAUUGGUCAAUGGACGCAAGUCUGAACCAGCCAUGCCGCGUGCAGGAAGACGGCCCUACGGGUUGUAAACUGCUUUUGUACCGGAAUAAACCUUUUCACGUGUGAGAAGCUGAAUGUACGGUAAGAAUAAGGAUCGGCUAACUCCGUGCCAGCAGCCGCGGUAAUACGGAGGAUCCAAGCGUUAUCCGGAUUUAUUGGGUUUAAAGGGUGCGUAGGUGGCCUAUUAAGUCAGGGGUGAAAGACGGUAGCUUAACUAUCGCAGUGCCUUUGAUACUGAUGGGCUUGAAUACACUUGAGGUAGGCGGAAUGUGACAAGUAGCGGUGAAAUGCAUAGAUAUGUCACAGAACACCAAUUGCGAAGGCAGCUUACUAAAGUGUUAUUGACACUGAGGCACGAAAGCGUGGGGAUCAAACAGGAUUAGAUACCCUGGUAGUCCACGCCCUAAACGAUGAAUACUCGAUGUUGGCGAUAUACGGUCAGCGUCUA